UCUAUUUUUAAAAGUACCCCGAAAUUGAAACCACCAAAUUCCCAAAUCCACUCUCUCAGCUUCUCAAUCUCCAACUCUUCGAUGGGCACUCCCAAAUCUCAUCCUUGAAUAUGGAGUCUAUAUCCUUAAAUUGAAGGUCCCUAUAUAUUUUUAUGCAAAAUACAUCUACUCGUCCCUGAAGGUCUAUAUCCUUAAUGGUCUCGUAGCUUGCGCUUCCGGCCUCUCGUCUACUAAUGCGGUCCCUAUAUAUUUUUAUGCAAAAAAAAAUUAUUUUGCCUCUGUUUAAACACUUAUUUUCUGAAUAUUUGAGCAUAUAUUUAAUUGUGUGGGUAAUGUGUUUGACUUAAUGACUUUGAGCAGAGUUGUUAUUACUCAUUCCUUCCAAAUGCCAAUGUUGUCUUUAAUUGUAUUUUUUGAUUUAGUGUUUUUCGAUUUAGGGAUUCUAGUAUUUUUAUUUAGGAAUUUAGGGAUUUUUGAUUUAGGACUUUCUAAUUAAUAUGUAAUUGAUUAUGGAAGAUUGAAACUUUUUGAUUAAUAUUUUUAAAAUUUCUUGUGAUAUUUUUUAGCACUUUUUUGAAAGUUUAAUUAUGACCUCAUAACCCAAUAUGUCUGUGUUCAUCCCUAGAUUUCAAGGCAGAAUUUUGAAAGCAAUACCAAAUCAUAUUUUCAGGAUCUACAUGGAAAGAAGAAUUGACUGAACUAAAAUUUCUUCACAGUCCCUAUGUUCAUAGUUGACUGUCCUCAACCUCAAAGCGUUGAGUCUCUCUGAUUCGAGAUACUUACUCAUGACUAUCAAUCACUUUCAUGCUGGAAGAAUAUACUAAUAUUCAGUAAUAUUGUAUCAUAUAUUUUGUUUUCAUUCUCUUUUGCAGUUUCUUGUUUUGUGGGCACAGAUUGAUGUUGAGAACUAAUAGAGUUUGAUCAAGUGAAUAUGCUAUUUUGCAUCUUUCUGUUUUGUGUUUUGCUAUUACCAUCUGCUGACGUCUUAACAUUUUGUGACUUCCAUGCCAAUUGUUAACCGACGACUUGGGUUGUUCAUGCACAAAUUGAUGAGUCUUGACUAUCAGUACCCAACAUUAUACAUAAAUCAAUGGAUUUUGAUUGUGUUCUUUAAUCGUUUCACAAUAUUUAAUUGAAAUCAAAGAAUUUUAAUCUUCAAUUGUCAUUCUUCACGCUUUUGUCUAUGUCUAUUAAUAUUAAAUUAAAGUCACGUUCCUGAAAUCCAAUUGCAAACGUUGUGUUUUCUCUUGAAUUUCCUUUUGUAAGGGACUAAGAAAGAAGGUUAAUUUUUCUUUUCCUUCUUCAUUCUCUUUCUAUUGAGCUUGAGAGAAUGGUGUGUAGACAUCAUGUUAGUUGAGUAAUGCUAUUUAGCACCAUUGGCAUUAUUGUGACAUUAAAUGAGAUGUACAAUUAAAUGAGUUGCUUAAUUUCACAUUUUAUUGAACCUAUCACAUAGCACAACUUACACUGGUGUUAUAGGAUCAGUAGUACGAGAUAACAUUAUUACAUAACUAUGUGCUAUGUUCAGUAGCUACCCUUUGAAAUCAAGGUUACUUCUGGUAAGAUAUAUGUCAAAUGAUCGCGUACACUUAAAAUAGAAACUUAGUUAAUAAAUAAAUUUGAAAAUAAAAAUGUAAAAGGAAGUAAAGGUUGAAAACAAUAUAAAAAUUUAAAUUUUAUCAUCCAAAAAUCUAAGUUAUUCAUUCUUGUUAUAUCCUUUUGUAAUAGACUUAGGAAUGAGAAAGUGUACACCAUAAUCAAAAUCAAGAGUGAUCAUGAGAGAGAGAUUGAACACUUUAACCUUAAGAACUUCUGUUUGAAGAAGGUAUCCAGCAAGAGUUCUCUUUACUAAUCACCACAAUAAAAUGAAGUAGUUAAGAUGAAAAGUAGGGUGCUUUAAUAAAUGGGUAGAGCCAUGCCUCAUGUUAAGGAUUUGGCAAUGCAUUUCUAAGAUGAAACCAUUAACACUGUUUGCCACAUAGUGAACUGAGUUUACUUUAAACCUAGAUUGAGAAGAUGCCAUAUGGAAUUUGGAAGGAUAGAAAGUCUACCAUCAAAUACUUUCCAGUGUUUGGCAACAAGUGUCACAUUUUGAGAGAUGGAGAGAACUUAGGAAUAUUCGACUCUAAAAGUAAUGAAGGAAUAUUUCUAGGGAACUCUAGGAUUAUUAAGGCUUAUCAUGUAUAAAAUUCUCGUACAUAAGUAGUGACAAAAUCCAUAAAUGUUGUUAUUGAUGAUGCCUUGAGUGAGAACGAGCCAUUAGGAAACUUGGAAGAAAUAUGUCAAUUUAAGUGUUGAUCCUGUCACUGAAUCUAUAGAACUCCAAGCCCAAAAAUGUAUAGAUAUUCCAACUAGGAACCAUCAUCUAGUGAUAAGCCUAAACUUCCUAAGGAACCUUCAUCUAGAGUUUAAGUCUAAUCAUCCUAAGGAUAAUAUCAUUGGGGAUUUAGAAGAAGUUAUAAGACUAUGUAGGAGAGUUUUGAAUAACUUGACGUUCAGUAGUUAUGUAUCCCAAAUUGAGCCCCAAAAAAUUGAAGAAGCCCUUAGCAAUGAAUGUUGGGUAAAUGCAAUGCAUGAGAAGCUAAUCAGUAGAAACAAUGUUUGGUAUUUGGUACACUGAUGAUCAAGGUAAACUAGAAAUAAAGUUAAGUUACUUGCUCGAGGAUACACAUAGGUAGAAGGUGUAGACUUUGAUGAGACAUUUGUCCCUAUAGCUUGUCUUAAAUCUAUUAGAAUCCUACUUGUUGUAGCUUGUACCCUAGGUUUCAAGCUAUAUCAAAUGUAUGUCAAAAGUGUUUUCUUGAAUAGAAUACUUCAAAAAGAGAUAUGUGUUAAACAACUAAAAGGUCUUGUUGAUCCUAAGUUUCUCCAUUAUAUCUAUAAGCUUAAAAAGAAAUGAUAGACUAAUUGCUUUAUCUCUUGGGAUGUGCUUAUCUCUUGGGGUGUGGUUCUUAAGAGAUAGUGUAGAUAGAAUGUUGUUCAUUAAACAAAUGGAAGAAAUCAUUACCAUAACAUAAAUUUAUGUUGAUGAAACCAUCUUUGAAUUUUCCAUCGACUCUCUUGUUCAUGAAUUCACUGAAUGCAUAAAACAAACAUUUGAUAUGAGUAUGGUAGGAGACUUGAGUUUCUUUCUUACAUUUCAGGUAAAGCAAAUAGAUGAGAGGUUAUUAAUUUCUUAAUCAAAUAUGCUGAUGACCUAGUAAAAGGAUUUAGGUUAGAUAGCAAGAAGAACACCAAAACACCCAUGAGCAUUAGUGUUAAGUUAGGUCAAGAUCCUAUUGAAAAAGUGUUAAUCAAACACUGUAUAGAAAUAUGUUAGGUAGUCUACUUUAACUUAAUUCUAAUCGACUUGACAUAGCAUUUAGUGUGGGAGUUCAUAUGAGAUUUUAGGCUAAACCUAAGAAGUCCCAUUAAGUGCCAUGAGACGUAUCAUUCAAUACGUUAAUGGCACUAUAGAUCAUGGAAUCUUGUACUCACGAUAUUCAAAUCUUGAUCUAGCCUGCUAUUUCGAUAUCAAUUGGGCUACGGAUGUUAAUGAUAGAAAAAGCACAACGAGAGGCUGUUUCAAUGUUGGAACAAAUCUAGUAGCUUGGAUUUGAAGGAAACAAAAUUUUAUUUCUUUGUCCAUGGCUGAAGUUAAAUAUUUAAGUACACAAAGUUGUUUUACUUAACUUCUUUAGAUGACGCAUAUGUUAAGAGAUUAUACAGUUGAGUAGGUUACUGUGACUGUGUUUUAUGAUAAACAAGUGCCAUAAAUAUUUUCAAAAAUCUUGUUCAUUCUUGAACCAAACAUAUAGAUACUCACAUCAUUUUAUUCGAGAGCUUGUGGAGAAUUGUGUUGUAAUAGUUGAGCAUGUCUCUACAGAAAACCAAUUAGGUGACUAGUUCACUAAAUUUUUAGAUGGUCUUCAGCUUGAAUUCCUCAGGAAAGCUAUUGGUGUCUGUGUACCUCUUUGAGUAGGUAAUUAGGCGUAUGUAUCUAUAUUUUUCAUGAAGUCUACAUAUCCAAGCAUGCACUCUAUCUUUUCUUUUUCUUUUUUCUUUUUUCCAUUUUUUUGUGUGCAUUAUUAUUAUUAUUAUUAUUUAAAAGUGACAAAUAUUAUUGAAAAUUGAAAAGAGUGUUUUUUAAGGCACUUUGUUUUGAUUUUUGUUUUACUUGAACAUGUUCAUUGUGAUCAAGCAUAAGUAAAAUUGAUGAAAAUGAUGAAAAUUUCCAUUAAUUUAUUAAGGACUUGUACGGAGUACUUAGCACAUGUUUCUUCAUGUACAAUCUACACUACUCACACAAAGUUUUUGUUCGCGAUUCUCGAUCGCUUCUAUGAGAUUUGUGAUAUUGAUCAUCGAUGUAGCAAGUUGACUUUGGAUAUGAAAUAAACUUUAACUAUUCGGCCUAAACUCUUGUAUACUCCCCAUAAAAAUGAGUAUUGUUAUUCAAAAUAGUUGAGUUAUUGUGAUAUAUCUUAUAUUUUUCUUCUUAGCCUUUGUGACUCGAACAAUUAAGUAUGUUGGAUAUUUUAAGAUCUGAUGUCCUAUAGUCAUCUGACUUAAAAGUCAUCAGUAUGAAGUUCAUUACAUGAGUCAUUAUCCUUAAUGAAGAUAAGUAUGUAAAUAAAAUUGAAAAAAGAAAAAAAUAAUGUACAAAUGAUCAUGCAUAAGGGAAGAAAGAAAAACUACAUAGUAUUAAUAUGAGAUCUUUUGUUUAAAAAGUCUUAGAGCACUUGAUUUGACUUUCAUAAUUUGAGAAAUAUAUUUUCAUUCACCAGUGAUUCUUUGCAGCCCUUUCUUCACUAAUAUAAGGUAUUGAAUCUUACUUACAGCAAGUUAGUGGCACUUUACACAGUUGGGUUCUUAUACAAUUUACUCCAUGUAGAUCUAAAAUAAAAUGCGUGGAAAGUAGUUUGCUGCCUAUUAAUUAUAUAUGUACAAGUAAACUAUGCAUGUUCAAGUUAUCACAUAAUCUUGAUUUGUGUGACAAGUUACUACAUUUAAAAAUUCAUGAGAAAGUGUUAUAAUUCAAAAAUUUUGAAAAGUAUAGUUUUGAAAUGAGUAAUGCUAUUCGUAGUCGCUUACUGCAGUAGUCACCCUACGUGGUAUAUACAUGACAUGUGAUUAUUUGAUAUAUUAAUGUGAUAGUUUUUUUAUUCAUUAAUGUAUCAAAUAAUCACUUGUCAUGUGUAUGUUACAUAGGGCGACUAUUGCAGUGAGCGACUGCAAAUAGCAUUAUUAUUUUGAAAUAGAUAAAAACGUGCUAUUUGUGUCACUUUUCUAGCUGCUAACUUAGCGUUGGGUUGUUGCUUGAGUGCCCAAAGCAGAGGCUUGGCGCUCAAUUAGUGCAUGCCUCUCGCCUGAGCGGCAGCUCGUGUUUUUGAAUUAAACGCGCAGACCCUCGCAUUUUCCUUUCCUUUCUUCCCUCAUCUCACAAAUUCAUCAUUCAACCCAUCAUACUAGUUCAUUAAGGUCGAUUUUCGUGAACAUUAGUAUCACAUUCAUCAACUCAUCAUCAAUUUCAUCCUAGUCAAGGUGAAAUAUCGAAAAUCCAUAAUUUUUGAAAAUUUUAGGGCUUUUUCAAAAUUGUGCCUUCUUGCUCGAAAUUCUUGAAAUUCAUGCAUAUUCAUUUAUGAGCUCAAGUACAGGAUGAUUGUAUAAGAGUUAUUGCACCACUUUGGAGAAAAAAUUUCAAAAAUUUUCCUUAGAACUUGAAUUCUAGAGUGCUUCAUGGAUUUGCAUAUAUUUUCUUCAAUUUUUUGUAAAAUUGAUGGAGAUUGGGAUAGGAUUAGAUGUUGGAGUUAUGGUAUGAGGUUUGAAUUGGUGAUUUUGCCCGGUUUCAUUAGGUUUGGCACUUCAUUCAUCCUUUUGACAUACCAUGUGUUCGAUAAAAUGUUCGUCUGAUGUUUCUGUGUAAGUUUUCACAUGUUUUUUUGUCAAAAUACAUCGAACACAUAAACAUAUUUGGGUCAUUUAUUUACACUUUUGGAUCUUUUGUAUCAAAAUUGAGGGGAAUGUGUCUACCUUGCAUGCAUGUAUCGGACCUCCCUACGUCACUUAGUUUCACCACUUAGUUACGUCAUCUAGUUAGGUUCCUAGGUUAACUUGCAUGUUUUUAUCUUGAUUUCAUUCGUGUCAGGUGCAUUGGGUACUUGUGUCUCGAUUUACGUGCUUUUACCUCGUUUACCUUAUUUUACUUUCAUAACAUACAUUCACAUAUUAUUCCACAUCACUAGUUAUCAUCUUCUUGGUAUACUUUUGUUGAAAAUCAUGACAUAGAUGCCCGUUGAAAAGCGAGGACUACAGGCUAGAACUCAGGUACUUCAACUUUGUACAAUCGUUUGAGGUUUAUUUCAUCCGAGGCCCAGGAGUGAGUCAUAGUUUUCCUCGUCUUCUCUAAGUUGAGCAUGAGGUAACUCUUUCUGACCUUUACCCUGACAUGGCUGCUAUAUUUAUUUCCCAUGGUAAGGAGCUAUUACUUCAUGAUCUCACAUCUCCUUCCCAUUUUCUAGUUAGGGAUUUUUAUUCGAAUAUUUAUGAGGUUGAUAGGUCUCACUUUAGAGUCUUUCUGAGAGACCAGGUUUGAAUAUAAGUGCUGCUGUCAUUUCUCGAAUUAUAUGGAUACCUUAGGUUACUUACUCAGUGUUUUCUUAUAUUAUUCCUUUGAAUGUUCUAUCGAGUUCUCUUUUCAUGUUGACCCUUUUUAAUAGUCCUACAAAUGGGGGUCAAGUCACAAUUAUUAUUGGGUCUCUUCCAACCGACUACUAGAUCUUGUUGCGCAUUAUGUGUCCAAAUCUUUGGUUGGUGUCCCUUAUAUCCUCAUUUCCUUAAGAUAAGGCCAGGUUUCUUUCUAUAUGCUCUUCUACAUGGUGAAUCGAUUGAACUGCCUUCUUUUGUCUAUCAUCACAUCUUGCGUAAAUUUCGCAUAACUAGUAGGAAGAUAGGUACGCCACACGCCUGUUUAAUACAACAUCUAGUGAUGGAGCUCGGGGGUUACUUUUUCUGAUAGGGUUUUAGAGCGUGUGUCUUGGCUUAUUGGUUAUAUCACUAUUUCCCAGAGUAGGUUCUGUAUUCUAUCUUCUUCAGUUCUUACUGAUCCUAUGAUUACCUACUUUCUUUACCCACUCUGCCUUAUGUUUCUGCUCAUAACAUUCCACCUACUUUUAUUCCAGAUAUUCCAUCCACUUCUACAUUUGCUCCCAUUCCUCUAUCUACAUCUGAUCCCAUCGACCAUUCGAUAGCUAUUAUGAGCCAGUUUUCAUUGAUCAUCGAGCACCAGUCUCUAUUUCUGGGUGAUAUGACUUUGCUACGGUCGUAGUCUGAGCGACGUACAAUAGAUUUUGCUUCACUUCAGACUAAUGUUCACUCAUUUCAAACAGGUGUUUGUUCACUUCAGAGACGUGUCUAGUGGAUGUAAUAACAUUGAGACGGUGGAGAUGAUACAGAGGAGGACACUGAUUAGUUGGUAGGUACCCCUUUGUCAUUGUCACAAAAAGGAUGAGUAGUGUUUAGGCUUAGAGUUUUAGGGCAUUGUGUAUUGAUUUGAAGUUUUGGGAUAUGUUCAGAUAUUUUGUGUAGCUUUUUAAAGUUUUGAUGUUUUAAUGUAAACUUUUGUGGUUUGUUAGACAUUAAUAUUGUAUCUUAAUCUAGUUAGCAUGAUAUUUGUUUUUAUCUAUCUCAAUUGUUGUAUGCUAUUUCGUUAACUGUUUUUACAUACUUUUACACUUGGUAUUUGAGUUAUUGAUUUAAAUAAACAGGUGUGACAAGGAAAGCAAGUUUCAGUUGAGUCAUUAAAUCUUGGGUAGUUAGAAGUUGUUCUUUUUCAUAAUUUGUAUUUGUAAUAUUUAGUUUUGUCACAAAUGUA
RNAcentral lists this long non-coding RNA (7849 nucleotides) under Olea europaea subsp. europaea. Lineage: Eukaryota; Viridiplantae; Streptophyta; Magnoliopsida; Lamiales; Oleaceae. The record is from RNAcentral.